This 1101-nucleotide long non-coding RNA is filed under the name Cavia porcellus (domestic guinea pig). RNAcentral's name for it is "lncRNA (ENSCPOG00000033633.1)". The record is from RNAcentral. Lineage: Eukaryota; Metazoa; Chordata; Mammalia; Rodentia; Caviidae.
UGAGAGAUUCCUAUGUGCAAGAUGAGGUAUUAGAGGCUGAAGAGUUGAAGAAGGUGGAUUGUCUGCCCUCCCAGCCACUUAGAAGCUAAAUAAAGGGAAAUACUGGCAAUAUAACCACAGAGUAGAAGGAUUUUAAAACACAAGGUAAGAAGAUGUUGAAGAUUACACUCUACUGGGGACAUUAAAGAAAUAUAACCCACAGGACUGGAUGGCAAAAAAGUGCUAUACUAUUCUUUUGGUCCCUUUGCCGUAUGUUAAGGAAGCGAUUUUCAUAAAAUCCUGUGGACACACAGAGGAGUAGAUCACUUACAUAUGGGAAAAUCCAGAAGUCUCGAGGGGAAUGCAUUUGACAUGGUUAUUAGCGGGGACUUCAACAGAAAGCAAUGGGAAAAGGAGCAGUAGAGGAAAGAACACCUGAAGAAAAACAGAGACCUGAACACGUGUAGAAAAUAAAAAUGUAUCGCAGCUCAACGUCUCCAUUCCCAGACCUCCACCUUCCAACAGUCACUCCAGUGCCAGCGGCAAUGAGUGAGGGGACGUGUGAAAGGUGCAUUCCAUUUCUAGGGUCACUUCCAGGGCUUUAGGAGGGACUAAUUCUAUCUCAUCAGCUUCCAGGUUCAGCUGCCACGGGUGGCGACCAACAACCUCUUUUGGUGUUGUUAUUUUUUUUCUCUGGCUCCAAGUUUGCAGGCGGAAUGAACAAGGCAAGCAACAGACCCUACUGCAGCCUGUUCCCUACAAGCACAGAGACCACUGGGGCUUCUCUAACUCAGAAAACCCACUAGGUCUAAUAGCAAAAUCAGCUUCCAGAUCUGAAAGUGUACAAGACACAGAAAAGCAGGAGAUUUGGUUCAAAUUUUGCAUAAAAAGUACAAAAUUCAAGAAGGAAGAGUAAAAUAAAUUUGCAUAAUCUCAUCUAAAAGAAUAUUUUAAAAACCUGUGCUUUAGCAAAGAAAAAAGAUUAUACCCACAAGGGGGUGGACAGAUUCCAAAAAAGAUGGACAAAUAAAAGCAAUGUAUUAGAUGCAUAUGAGAGCAAUCCAAAAUUCUCCAUUUGAAAAUACACAGAAAAUGAGUUCAAAACAUACCGUAAGACAGCAG